CGAAACCUAGAACAUAUGCUGCUGAGAUGAACGAAGAGUCUAGUAAAUAGAUGAUCUAAGAGAUCCCCAAAUGUUCAAAAUUCCUGAUAGAAAAAUACAUUCUGUCUUUGAAGAAGAAGAAUAUUACAUUUGUAUCAUACGACAAGGCCCCUGGAUAUAAAAAGACACAAUAGUGCAGACAUUUUCAAAUUAUUGAAUUUCGACUACUUAUCCUUCAAUUUAUAAUAAAUGAUAACACAGUACAAUUUCGGUUCCUAUAUUUUUAUAAAAUAUAUUGAUAUAGGGUAGAGCGGGGUUAGUUGAGCAUAGGGGCAAGUUGGGCAAUCGAAAUAUCUCGGAAACUAUUCAUCUUACGCGGAAGUAUCAAAUAGCGAAAAGAAGGAGUCGUAGGAGGGGUAAUCAUCGCACGAUAGCUAGUGGCAGCUCGACGAGUGAGUGAAGUGUCACGGCGUUUUGUUUAUUUUGUGACCAAAAAGUAAAAACAUUGUUUAUCGCAAGUUUUCGUCUGUCUUUGUCAAAUGUUCUCUGUUUCCAAUCAGGACAGUGUUAAUCUUCCAGAAGAUUAUUGUAUUUUUGAUUUGUAAAUAGGAUUUGGGUCUAAUUCUAGGCAUUUUUUUACAAUCCCACUUUUCUUUUAAAAUUCCGGGUUGGGGUAAGUUGAGCAACUAUAGCUCAACUAACUCCACGACUUAAAAAACUAAUGAGUAAUGACUCUUUUAUUUUUGUUUGGAUGCUUACAAGAGGAGGAGAUGUUCUUACACUACUGAAUACUUAAAUAAUGCUGCAAAGGCUGUCCACGAUGAGGGGAAAAGUGUGAAUACCGCCGCUAAAGAAUUCGGUAUUGGUUGACUUUUAAAUAAAUUAAAUGAAGGUGAUGAUUCAUUUAUGGGCUAUACAACACCGAGGGAAGUAUAUCCUCCCUCACAGAAGGACUGUUUGAAAAAAUACUUGCUACAAAUGGAAUUUUUCUCCAAAAGACGACCAUCGCCUUACCUAAGAGUGUGCUGCUAAAUUUGGCAUUGAAAUUCCACCCAACUGAAUUGCAAAUAAGAUGGCCGGAAAAUAAUGGUUGAUGAUGUUUUUAAAACAAAAAAAUCGUAGCUAUCCAUACAAAAACCCGAACCCACCAGCCUUGGUAAUCUUUUUUAGAAAUUAUCGGAAGUAAUGGAUAGAUAUGGAUGCUCAUGUUUUGUUGAUUCUAGUUUCGGUUAUACAAAGAAAAUUUUGUUGUUCUCUCAAUAAAAUACUAUAAAUAAAAAGCUGACUGUCUAAUACAUAUUUUACUACAUCUCAAGUUAAGAUAGAACCCAUGGUUUGGCCUAGACAUUCUUAGUGCUCAACUUGCCCCAUACCCUUGCUCAACUUACCCCACCUAUGGGGUACAUUGAGCAUACUUGACUUUCUGCAUUUAAACAUCUGUAGCUAUUAUAUUGGACUUGUUACAAAAAAAUACUAUGGACACUUUUGUUAAGGGAUAAAUUACUAAUCCAUCAGGACACAUAACAACUCAUUGAGACUUAUCAUUGAGGAGCUAUAUCCAAGCAAGUGAAAAAUUGCUCAACUAGCCCCGCCCUACCCUAC
This is a long non-coding RNA of Pieris napi, 1581 nucleotides long. RefSeq lists it as uncharacterized. Lineage: Eukaryota; Metazoa; Arthropoda; Insecta; Lepidoptera; Pieridae. The transcript has 2 exons. The record is from RefSeq and is a predicted model, not a curated record.